This 445-nucleotide ribosomal RNA is filed under the name uncultured bacterium. RNAcentral describes it as "bacterial SSU rRNA". It matches the Rfam family "Bacterial small subunit ribosomal RNA", at positions 355 to 825 of the family's 1533-position model. The record is from RNAcentral.
UCGGGAAUUUUGGGCAAUGGGCGAAAGCCUGACCCAGCAACGCCGCGUGAAGGAUGAAGUAUUUCGGUAUGUAAACUUCGAAAGAAUGGGAAGAAUAAAUGACGGUACCAUUUAUAAGCUCCGGCUAACUACGUGCCAGCAGCCGCGGUAAUACGAAGGGUGCGAACGUUAUUCGGAUUUAUUGGGCGUAAAGGGUACGCAGGCGGUGCGUUAAGUCAACUGUUAAAUCUCCCGGCCUAACUGGGAAUCAGCGGUAGAUACUGGCGCACUAGAGGAUGGAAGAGAGAAGUGGAAUUCUUGGAGUAGAGGUAAAAUUCGUAGAUCUCAAGAGGAACACCGAUGGCGAAGGCAGCUCUGGUCCAUUUCUGACGCUCAUGUACGAAAGCGUGGGGAGCAAACAGGAUUAGAUACCCAUGUAGUCCCUGAGCGGGCUGGCAAGGCGCAU